AUGGCCGCCCCCAGUGAGCCCCCUGGCUGCACACCGUGGCUUGUGUCCUUGGCCACCGAGCCACUUCCUGGAGGGGAACAGAGCCGCAGACUAUGGGAUCCCACAGUUACUUCCAAGUUCCGCAACCUCCUAGAUGAGAAGGAAUUUAAGGUCAGUUUCCCCCGGGGCCAAGCUGUGGCCUGCUGCGGCUCCUUCCGCGGCUGGCUGGUCGUGGCCAACGAGCUCUCAGACCUUGUCCUCUACAACCCCUUCACGGCGGCAUUGCUCCCGCUCCCGCCGCUCACUGGCUUCUCGUCGUGCAUCGAAGGGGUCUAUGCAGACGAAGGAAAUGUCAUUGGCUAUCGUUGUAGGUGUCACCAUGCUAGUAGCAAUAGCAGUGUUUAUGACAUGGAUUCUCUGGGCAGGCAUUUCUAUGACAAGGUUGUGUUGUCUGGUUCUCCAUCUGCCCGUCCCGCAGUUGCCUUGGCCAUCCACUUGGACGGCAAGCGGCUCUCUUUUGCGAGGGUAGGAGAUAGUUUUUGGCGACAAGUUUCGGUGAUAAGGAGAAGCCAAGAUAGUUUUGCCGAUUGUGUCUACCUCCGGGGCAGAUUCUACGUGUUGUCAAUGACAGGUAAAUUGAAGAUUUGGGACCUCGGUGGACCGGAGGACAUGCCACGAAAGAAAACGAUCAUCGCCGAGGAAGACGAUGACUUUUUCGAAGUUAUCACGAGAUACUUGGUUCCAACUCGCUGGGGACAUCUUCUGCAGAUUCGUGUCGUCUUGGACAAGGAUCAGGAUCAUUGCGUCAGUGUUUACGUAGACAGGCUGGAUCGCAAGAGCUGCCAAAUGGUUGGAGUAAGCCCCGCAAAGGCUCUAAGGGGGCAUGCUGCGCUCCUCGGACAGAAUAGCCCGGGUCUCUUGUCCGUGGAAAAGUUCCCUGAGCUGAGACCGGACUGUAUCUACUUCACGACUCCCCGUCUCAGGGGUGACAUUUUUGAGCGUUGA
This 984-nucleotide ribosomal RNA is filed under the name Triticum aestivum (bread wheat). RNAcentral's name for it is "partial small subunit ribosomal RNA". Lineage: Eukaryota; Viridiplantae; Streptophyta; Magnoliopsida; Poales; Poaceae. The record is from RNAcentral.